RNAcentral lists this ribosomal RNA (411 nucleotides) under uncultured eukaryote. Its description in RNAcentral is "eukaryotic LSU rRNA". It matches the Rfam family "Eukaryotic large subunit ribosomal RNA", at positions 2016 to 2424 of the family's 3401-position model. The record is from RNAcentral.
GAAGUUUUUCACCUGGAAUCUGGUCGGUGUAGAUUAAUUCGCAGAAUUCUUUGGGGUGCGCCUAGAGAGUUCGAACGGUUUAUAGAAAAUUAUCAUUCGGGGAACCUAUGGAUCCGGAGGAAUCCGACUGUUUAAUUAAAACAAAGCAAAAGAGGAUUGCUAUGCAAAGGUUUACACUCUUUGUGAUUUCUGCCCAGUGCUCUGAAUGUCAAAGUGAAGAGAUUCAAACAAGCACGGGGUUAACGGCGGGAGUAACUAUGACUCUCUUAAGGUAGCCAAAUGCCUCGUCAUUUAAUUUGUGACGCGCAUGAAUGGAUCAACGAGAUUCCUACUGUCCCUAUUUACUAUCUAGCGAACUUACAGCCAAGGGACGGCUUGGACGAUAGCGGGGAAGAAGACCCUGUGAGCUUG